CCCGAAGCUGCGGCAUGCCUACACAUGCUAGUUGUACAGGAGAGUGGGGCAACUCACUCUCAGUGGCAAACGGGUGAGUAACGCGUGAAUAACCUGCCUUUGAGAAGGGGAUAACUGUCCGAAAGAAUAGCUAAUACCCUAUAUUGCCAUUUGUCACUAAGGCAAAAGGUGAAAGCGAGGCUGUCAAAGGCUUCGGCUCAAAGAGGGGUUCGCGUCCUAUCAGGUAGUUGGUAGGGUAAUGGCCUACCAAGCCAAUGACGGGUAGCUGGUCUUAGAGGAUGAUCAGCCACAGUGGGACUGAGACACGGCCCGCACCCCUACGGGGGGCAGCAGUGGGGAAUCGUGGGCAAUGGGCGCAAGCCUGACCCCGCAAUGCCGCGUGAGGGAAGAAGCCCUUCGGGGUGUAAACCUCUGUCAGAUGGGAAGAUGGGACUAGGGGCUAAUACCUCCUGGUCUUGACGGUACCAUCAGAGGAAGGGACGGCUAACUACGUGCCAGCAGCCGCGGUAAU
Molecule: ribosomal RNA, 511 nt
Filed under: uncultured bacterium
Lineage: Bacteria
Description: bacterial SSU rRNA
Rfam family: Bacterial small subunit ribosomal RNA
Source: RNAcentral